Molecule: ribosomal RNA, 496 nt
Filed under: uncultured bacterium
Lineage: Bacteria
Description: partial 16S ribosomal RNA
Rfam family: Bacterial small subunit ribosomal RNA
Source: RNAcentral
AUGAACGCUGGCGGCGUGCCUAAUACAUGCAAGUCGAGCGAACGGACGAGAAGCUUGCUUCUCUGAUGUUAGCGGCGGACGGGUGAGUAACACGUGGAUAACCUACCUAUAAGACUGGGAUAACUUCGGGAAACCGGAGCUAAUACCGGAUAAUAUUUUGAACCGCAUGGUUCAAAAGUGAAAGACGGUCUUGCUGUCACUUAUAGAUGGAUCCGCGCUGCAUUAGCUAGUUGGUAAGGUAACGGCCUACCAAGGCAACGAUGCAUAGCCGACCUGAGAGGGUGAUCGGCCACACUGGAACUGAGACACGGUCCAGACUCCUACGGGAGGCAGCAGUAGGGAAUCUUCCGCAAUGGGCGAAAGCCUGACGGAGCAACGCCGCGUGAGUGAUGAAGGUCUUCGGAUCGUAAAACUCUGUUAUUAGGGAAGAACAUAUGUGUAAGUAACUGUGCACAUCUUGACGGUACCUAAUCAGAAAGCCCCGGCUAACUACGUG